RNAcentral lists this ribosomal RNA (186 nucleotides) under uncultured Bacteroidota bacterium. RNAcentral describes it as "uncultured Bacteroidetes bacterium partial 16S ribosomal RNA". It matches the Rfam family "Bacterial small subunit ribosomal RNA", at positions 120 to 306 of the family's 1533-position model. The record is from RNAcentral. Lineage: Bacteria; Pseudomonadati; Bacteroidota.
UGCAAUCUACCUUUCACAGAGGGAUAGCCCAGAGAAAUUUGGAUUAAUACCUCAUAGUAUAUAGAAGUGGCAUCACUUUUAUAUUAAAGUCACAACGGUGAAAGAUGAGCAUGCGUCCCAUUAGCUAGUUGGUAAGGUAACGGCUUACCAAGGCAACGAUGGGUAGGGGUCCUGAGAGGGAGAUCC